AGGGAGUUUGCUUUGGAAACAACUGUGCUGUCAUCCACAAGAUACAGUAGAAUAUUGGGCCAGGAAGAUUGCAUUGGAUAUGAAGAAGAUAUUUUAAAGCAAGGUUGGCCAUGGCCAGCAUCAACCAUGCUCCUGCCUCAGGGCCUUUGUACCAGCUCUUUUCAUUACCUGAAAUGCUCUUCCCCCAGAUAUCUACAUGUCUGAAAUGACUUCUUCAGAUUAAGGAAACUUUUUCAAAUCCACAGCCAGUGAGUUGUACAGUUAGAACACAAUCCUAUAUUUCUGAUCCCAGAACCUGAGCUGGUAAAUACUCUUCCGUUCUGCCUCAUGUUUAAGAAUUUGUUUUCAAGCUUGGUUCCAAAUAAAGAUUAACCUUGG
Molecule: long non-coding RNA, 378 nt
Filed under: Homo sapiens (human)
Lineage: Eukaryota; Metazoa; Chordata; Mammalia; Primates; Hominidae
Description: non-protein coding lnc-SLITRK6-2:1
Source: RNAcentral